GUUUUUUUUAUUGAAUGCAGUAUCUUCAAGCUGUACUUCAAAGGUGGAGAUGGGGAACAGGUUUAAUGUCAGAUAGCUUGGAAAUGAUAGCAAAUCAUCAUUCCUUCUUAGAAACCCAUGGUGCCUUCUGUGUGUCAGAAGCUCUUGAGAUGUGCUGCAAACAGAUCUGUUUUGACCUGAAUCCCCUAAACUUUGAGUGCCUUUUAAAGAUGCAAUGCUGAUGAAUAAAACAGUAAGCUAGGAACACACUCUAGAACACUGGCAUGAAGACUGUGAGGCGGAUAUUCUGAGGACGUGAAAGUGCCCGGGGACGGAGCCCUGGGAAGGCUGGCGGAGAGAACACAGAUGGCAUUGGACAGCAGCACUCACCUGAGUUUUGAUCACACCUUGUAAAGACACUCAUGAAGGAGGACUUACAGACCUGCUUUAAAAAGUGAACAGGCUCGAGACAGACUGGGAGGAGAAAGUCGUGGGGCGUCAGGAAGAGCCCAAAGUGCUGCCACCCAGAGCCAAGGAGCGCUGAGGCUGGCUGGUGUUGCCAGAGGGAGGAAGAGGAUUGUCUCUGGAGGUUUCUGAGGGAGAUGGCCCUGCGACACCCUGAUCUCAGCUUCCAGCCUCCUGAACUGUGGGACCACAGACUUCUGUUGUUCAGAGGCACCAGUUGAAACGAUUCCAGGAGCCUCAACUAGCAAUCAAGUUGGGAGAAAAGUACACAGCACGUUCUCCAAACCCAGCCGUUCCUUGAGCUGUGGUGGGGCCCGGCACCCUUGUUUCCUUUCCCAGGAUUCACCGUGAGCGGUGGGCAGAGUCUGGGAACAGCCUAAUGACUGAGGACACUUCAUUCCCAGCGACCGAAGGGAUGAGUGAGAAUGCUGGCCAGUCUCAAGUGCUUCAUAAGGGCAGGAAUGGAGCUCGUGUGGAUCACCAAUACAUCCUCAGCUCUGAGCCACAGCCAAAGAAUACUUCUCAAGUGACUGAAUUCCUAUGUAUGGCAGUCAUUGGGGUAGAUGUUUACUACUAAAAAAUUGUGAGCUACUUUUUUGUCUCCAAGAAAAAUGUCCAAAGACCCAAACUUGAAAAGAGCAUAGAAACAAG
This 1095-nucleotide long non-coding RNA is filed under the name Heterocephalus glaber (naked mole-rat). RNAcentral describes it as "lncRNA (ENSHGLG00100048472.1)". Lineage: Eukaryota; Metazoa; Chordata; Mammalia; Rodentia; Bathyergidae. The record is from RNAcentral.